GACGAACGCUGGCGGCGUGCUUAACACAUGCAAGUCGAACGGAAAGGCUCCAGCUUGCUGGAGUACUCGAGUGGCGAACGGGUGAGUAACACGUGGGUAAUCUGCCCUGCACUCUGGGAUAAGCCUGGGAAACUGCGUCUAAUACUGGAUAUGACCUUUCUCCUUAUGGGGUUUGGUGGAAAGUUUUGCGGUGUAGGAUGAGCCCGCGGCCUAUCAGCUUGUUGGUGGGGUGAUGGCCUACCAAGGCGACGACGGGUAGCCGGCCUGAGAGGGUGAUCGGCCACAUUGGGACUGAGAUACGGCCCAGACUCCUACGUGAGGCAGCGGUGGGGAAUAUUGCACAAUGGGCGGAAGCCUGAUGCAGCGACGCCGCGUGAGGGAUGACGGCCUUCGGGUUGUAAACCUCUUUCAGCAGGAACGAAGCGUAAGUGACGGUACCUGCAGAAGAAGCACCGGCUAACUAUGUG
RNAcentral lists this ribosomal RNA (467 nucleotides) under uncultured bacterium. RNAcentral's name for it is "partial 16S ribosomal RNA". It matches the Rfam family "Bacterial small subunit ribosomal RNA", at positions 28 to 507 of the family's 1533-position model. The record is from RNAcentral.